GUAGUGCUUAUGGUUUUGAUCAAAAUUUCUCUUCAUUUUCACUGCUCAUCCUAAUUUUUCUUGGCCAGGAACCAAGAUGAAGAAACAAGGGGGAAAGACUCCAAGGGGAAGGAAAUAGCAGCUGGAAACAGUAGACGAAUCACAAGGCCCCCACUCAGUUUCUUAGCGAUUCUCUACGAACACGGCAUAGCCCUCGACACUUCUUGUCCUGACCAGCUCUGUCAGCAGCUUUAUGAUGGUGUUUUCUUGAAGCCCAACAAACUAAAGUACUUUGUCGAUGAGAAGUCAAACAAGAAUUGCUUCGUGCUAUUCGCAAGAGAACUCACAGUCGUCCAUGGUGACAAUCCUGAUUAUUGGAGAUGGAUGGAAGAUAACGAAACAAGCGGGGAAGACAUUGAAGUGGCUAGGCUAUUGAAGGUAUGGUGGUUAGAGAUCAAAGGCGCUAUCCGAACAAUUAAUCUCUUACCAGGAACUUUGUACGAAAUUGUAUUUAUCAUGAAGAAACUUGACAAGGACUCAAACUUCAAUUUGACUCUUAUAAUCAAACCCCAGCACUUGAAAGCUUUGACACACCGUGCUCCGAAAGUUUGAAAGAAAAGCCUCUGCAAAAUUGGUUUGAGGUCUUGGCAGGUGAGUUCAUGUUUUCGACGCAGUACGUUGGGAACAUGGAAUUCAAACUGGAGAAUACCGGUGGGGACUGGAAGUGUGGACUUGUCGUGAAAUGUGCUAUCGUUCGACCUAAGAAGUAACAACACAUGAAAUUUGGGAUGCUAUCGGGCUUUUAUAUAUGCUUGAUAGAAAACAAGGAUGUCAAGUUAAUGUCUGAUUUGGUUUGUUUAUCUGAAAGUUGAAACUAUUUUCAAUUCUCUGGUGGAGUCUUUUUGUAGAUUUUAUAGAUUACAUUGUGGCACCAAGUUAAACUACAUCAACAUCUUAAUUAUAUUUGCUAGUAGAAAUUAAGAAGAAUGUCUGCCCUGAAGAGAAACAAAAUCAAUCAGUUUGCAGGA
Rhododendron vialii is the source of this 1007-nucleotide RNA transcript. It is a transcript of the gene named lectin-like, with no coding region annotated. Lineage: Eukaryota; Viridiplantae; Streptophyta; Magnoliopsida; Ericales; Ericaceae. The record is from RefSeq and is a predicted model, not a curated record. The transcript is spliced from 3 exons.